GUGCCCGUAGCUCAGCUGGACAGAGCACCGGCCUUCUAAGCCGGGGGUCGUGGGUUCGAGUCCCGCCGGGCGCG
RNAcentral lists this transfer RNA (74 nucleotides) under Archangium sp. RNAcentral's name for it is "tRNA-Arg". It matches the Rfam family "tRNA". Rfam says of the family: Transfer RNA (tRNA) molecules are approximately 80 nucleotides in length. Their secondary structure includes four short double-helical elements and three loops (D, anti-codon, and T loops). The record is from RNAcentral. Lineage: Bacteria; Pseudomonadati; Myxococcota; Myxococcia; Myxococcales; Archangiaceae.